RNAcentral lists this long non-coding RNA (1096 nucleotides) under Gopherus agassizii (Agassiz's desert tortoise). Its description in RNAcentral is "lncRNA (ENSGAGG00000010599.1)". The record is from RNAcentral. Lineage: Eukaryota; Metazoa; Chordata; Testudines; Testudinidae.
CAUCAAGACAGAGGCUUGUUUGUGCAAAUAGCCUGGGAUCAGGCUAUGAUUCCUGGAUCAUUUCUCUCCUUGCGGAAGUUGGGGGACAAGAGCGAACUCUGUGACAUCUCGGGGAUGCAGCAGGUUCCUGUGGCCCCUAUGUCGAGGGGAAGGACUGAGAGGCAGCAGGGAGAGGAUGUGAAGCAGGACCUGGCGACGAAAGGGGGGCCCUACCGAUACCCCCACUCAGGAGGCUCAGAUGUGUGAAACAAAUCCCAAACCCUCUGUUAUGAAUUUUUUUUGUUGGCACGCGCAGGAGGAAGUGAUGGACUGGUUCUUUCUGGAGAGUGGCUGCCAACCCCAAGCAGCCCCCUGCGGCCCCCCAGCCCCUUGACCAGCGUUUGUUCCUAGCAGAAGGGCUGUUUGUGUGCUGUUUGGGCUCCUUUUCUUUGUUUUAAGUGUGGCUACAAUCAGCUGCUGAGAGGCUCACUGCUCCGGUUCGUUCCCUGCCAAUUUCACUGAGAGCUGGCACCACAGGCGGCUCCGGAGGCAACGAAGAGAGGCUGGAGAGGAUAGAUCAUGGAGGGGAAAAAAUGGACACAUGCCAUCGACGGAGCGGCGAGGCUGCCAGAAUGCCAGCAGGCAGCAUGGGGCCAAAAAAAAACCACCCCACACAGAGCAGAAAAGAAGCUGGCAGCCCAUCUCGAAGCAGGCGGUGGCUGAGUUGGGAGAGGUGCCAUGGAGGACGGGCUGCAGCGAGCAGGCAAUGCGGGAAAGAGAGAGAGAAAAACAGACAGACAAAUUGGCAGAGGCAGCACAGGUAGCAGACGGCGAAUCGGGAGAGGAAACAGCUAACCACAGCCGAGGGCACUCAGCACGUCACAGGACCAGGCCCAGCACCAGGACGUGCCCCCAGAAGAGCAUCGGGAAAGGAAGGAGCCCCCAACUUGGGGGCUGAUGGGACAGCGCUGCAGUGCUUUGGCAGGUGCGGAGAGUGAAACCUAAAUGGGGGCUAGAUACUAUGGUGAUGGGCACAUUAAAGACAGCUGCAAUGACAUUGAUUAGCUAGACAAUGACCAGGCACUAAUUCUGCUGCAGCCACUGCAGCACCAUGCAG